Long non-coding RNA from Magnolia sinica, 333 nucleotides. RefSeq lists it as uncharacterized. The record is from RefSeq and is a predicted model, not a curated record. The transcript is spliced from 3 exons. NCBI's taxonomy places the organism in Eukaryota, Viridiplantae, Streptophyta, Magnoliopsida, Magnoliales, Magnoliaceae.
CAUUGUUGCAUGUUUGAUGUUUGCUCUGGUAGUCGGAAUGCUGAAGUUUAAAGAAUUAGUAGAGGCUUCUAUUGUGGUUCUCAUAUGUCAAAGAGCAUCAAAGCAUGCCUGCCCACUUUCAGUCCCAACUGAUUUGCUACUGGACUACUUGUUGAGGAGACAUUGUCUGGUGCACCAGUCCAUACAGAUAAGGAGCCUCCUUAUUGUUGAAACAAAGGCACUUAGACAUUGGUGAAGCCGAAUUUUCUAGAUUCCAUUCUGGUACCAAACGCGGUGAUAUUGUUGGUGUCACUGGAAUUCCAGGUUGGUUGGUUUUCAUUUAUGUUCUUCAAU